UACAGAGGUCCCAAGCGUUGUUCGGAUUUACUGGGCGUAAAGGGUGCGUAGGCGGUCGGGUAAGUUUGAUGUGAAAUCUCCAAGCCUAACUUGGAAAAUGCAUUGAAUACUGCUUGGCUAGAGUAUUGAAGAGGAGAUUGGAAUUCUCGGUGUAGCAGUGAAAUGCGUAGAUAUCGAGAGGAACACCAGUGGCGAAGGCGAAUCUCUGGGCAAUAACUGACGCUGAGGCACGAAAGCUAGGGGAGCAAACAGG
This 253-nucleotide ribosomal RNA is filed under the name uncultured bacterium. RNAcentral describes it as "partial 16S ribosomal RNA". It matches the Rfam family "Bacterial small subunit ribosomal RNA", at positions 524 to 776 of the family's 1533-position model. The record is from RNAcentral.